CCGUUACAGAGAACUAUCUCUGUGUUACUAUAUACAAUCUCAAGGUAUAUAGGUAAUGACUGAAGCUGCUGAAGGGAGUGCGGGAUGGCUUCAGCAGUUUUAAAGAUAUCCAUCAAGUGAUUAAUAAAAAUAAAUCUUUGAAGAGUAAAACUGUUACAAGUAAAGAAAAUAUGAUCCAAGGUUUGUUCAGAAUGAUUACAGUAAUUACAAACGGGUGAAGACAAUAUAUUCAAUCUAUGAAGAUGAGCAUUAAAUCGACAGUGACCAAGUCUAAGACGGCAAAUAGUAGAAUAAAAUUUCCUGUCAUGAAAUGAAACACCUUUAGUAAACCAUGGGACUGACAACUCCUGUUUAAUCUUAGAAUACCAUUUUCCUUUGGUUUCCAUGGUCUGUUUCCAAAAAUUUGUAAAUUCGAUUUUAAAGGUUUCUUUUAUUUUGACUAAAACGUCAGAUUCUGGAAGACAUAUGUUUUUAAUACAAUGCUCCUGAGAACAAGUAGUUAUAGCUCUUGCUAAAAAAUCGGCUUGUUCAUUUCCCUUAACACCAAUAUGUGACGGUGACCAGACUAAAACUAUAGUUUUUUUGUUUAAUGUUGUUAAUUUUGUAUAUUUUUCUCUAAUAUCAUGGAUAAUAUAGUUAGUUGUAGCACAAAAUUUGGGGUUAUUUAAGUUUUGAAGAACGCUAAGACUAUCGGACACUAUAAUCCAUUUAUCAUAAACUUGAGUUUCAAUAUACUCUAAUGCAGACAGAACUGCUAAACACUCAGCAGUAAAAAUACUUGUUAAAUUUGGAAGCCUAAUACCAUAUCCUUUCUUAUCCUGUUUAAUAUAUAUGGCUGCUGAUACCGCCUCAGAAGUCUUUGAACCAUCAGUAUAGACUUGUUGAUAACCAACUAGGUUACUUAGUAAAAGGUAGACAUCUUCUUUGCACUUCAAAGAAUUAUCAAUUACAAUUUUUAGUGGAAAAUAUUUAGAGCUAAAUGUGCUCAUAUAGCAAGGCCAUAAGUCACUUUCAUAUAAGUUAUAGUCUUGCUUUAUUUUUACAAUUUCAGGUAGGUAAUGUAAUAAAAUAGAAGAAGAAGAACCACUCUGCAAUUUUACAAGAAGAGGAUGAUUUUUAAUGGAUGAAAUUCUCAACAAAAACCUGUAUAUUAAAUAUUUAAAGCGAAUUUUCAAAGGAGGGAUGUUACAUUCAACCUGCAUUGAUAUUAUGGGUGUGGAACACAUCGCACCAAGCACAAUCCAGCUGAUGUCCAAGCCCAGAUCAUCAUAAUAGGCCUUAAGGCCAAGGAGAGCAACUCUGAGAUUUUCAAUAGCUGCAGACAACUUGUCUGCAGUACAAUAUAUAGUUAAGUCAUCUACAAACUGUAGGUAAUUGUAAAGAAGUUAAAAUAGUUGAAAGUUUUUCCAAAUUGACAUUAUUAUAUGCGCCAACAACAUCAAAGAAAAUACCAACCAAUAUUGAAUUACAAGACAGAGCAUUGUGAAUGUCCAAACAAAAAUGACUCAAGCUCUCUCUAGCCGAACGGCCACGCCGAAAACCGAACUGAUUACUAGAUUCGUGUGAAGAGGAAAACUUUCAAAUGUCUGUGACAAGUUACUAUGGGGAGAGAAUGAUGGAGAAAGAUUCAAUGUUGUCAGAGUUGGUAAAUGAUAACUACCUAACGAGUCUGAAGAAACUUGCCAUUCACAAAAUAAUGCUAACGACGCCGAAACAAAAGUCAAAUCUAGUGCAUUUGGCUUCCAUCUAUGCGACCCUACAGUGGUUGGACGUCCAUCAUUCAAGAGAACCAAAUCAUUCUCAUCAGCGACAUCAACAAUAUCUCUCCCUCGCGCGUCAACUUUGCCGCAACCCCAUAAAGUAUGAUGCGCGUUAAAGUCUCCAGCCAAAAUUAUCGGUUUCGGAAUAGUGUGUAUUAAAUCAUUAAAUUUUUUCUUAUUAAAUUCAGGAGUACAGCUUCCUGGGCUGUAAAAACUUACAAUCGAAAUUUGUUUCUGAAAAAUUUGAAUCUGAACAACAAUAUUUUGUAAAGAAUCAUCAUAAAAUGUAUUAAUUUUGUUAUAGACUAUAGUGUUAUGAAUUAAUAUGGCUACUCCAUUGUGAUUAUUACCACAGUCAUUUCUCACAAUAGAGUAUCCUUUCAUGUUAAAUGUGAUAUGUGGUUUGAGCCACGUUUCACUAAUUAUACAAAUGUGGAUGGAAUUAUCUAAUAGAAAUUUUUGUAGUUCAUAUUUAUUACUUGGCAAGCUUUGACUGUUCCAUUGCAUAAUAUUUACUUGGGCAGAGAAUGUGAAAGAUUGUUAUUUUUUUCUUUUAUAGUUUCUUUUAUUGUUUCUGAAAGAAGCUGUGAGUUUAUGCUUGCAUUUUGAGUCUUGUUCAGAGUAAUAGCUUUAAUUAAACAUUCUGUGAGUAACGUAAGUGCGUUUUUAUUUGAGAGAAGUACAUUUAAUAAGUCUUUACUAUUUGUGUUUUCAUUCAAUGAAGGGAAAUUUUGUAAUUUAUUAUUAAAAAGGUCUGCAUAUGAUGUAGUUGUA
Aricia agestis (brown argus) is the source of this 2534-nucleotide long non-coding RNA. RefSeq lists it as uncharacterized. NCBI's taxonomy places the organism in Eukaryota, Metazoa, Arthropoda, Insecta, Lepidoptera, Lycaenidae. The transcript is spliced from 5 exons. The record is from RefSeq and is a predicted model, not a curated record.